UACGAAGGGGGCUAGCGUUGCUCGGAAUCACUGGGCGUAAAGCGCACGUAGGCGGAUUGUUAAGUCAGGGGUGAAAUCCUGGAGCUCAACUCCAGAACUGCCUUUGAUACUGGCGAUCUUGAGUCCGGGAGAGGUGAGUGGAACUGCGAGUGUAGAGGUGAAAUUCGUAGAUAUUCGGAAGAACACCAGUGGCAAGGCGGCUCACUGGACUGGUAUUGACGCUGAGGUGCGAAAGCGUGGGGAGCAAACAGG
This 252-nucleotide ribosomal RNA is filed under the name uncultured bacterium. Its description in RNAcentral is "partial 16S ribosomal RNA". It matches the Rfam family "Bacterial small subunit ribosomal RNA", at positions 524 to 776 of the family's 1533-position model. The record is from RNAcentral.